Molecule: transfer RNA, 84 nt
Filed under: Ketogulonicigenium vulgare WSH-001
Lineage: Bacteria; Pseudomonadati; Pseudomonadota; Alphaproteobacteria; Rhodobacterales; Roseobacteraceae
Also listed under: 1 other name
Description: tRNA-Leu (TAA) (tRNA-Leu-TAA-1-1)
Rfam family: tRNA
About the family: Transfer RNA (tRNA) molecules are approximately 80 nucleotides in length. Their secondary structure includes four short double-helical elements and three loops (D, anti-codon, and T loops).
Source: Rfam by way of RNAcentral
GGCCGCUUGCCGGAACCGGUAGACGGAACGCACUUAAAAUGCGUCGUGGUCAUCCACGUGCGGGUUCGAGUCCCGCAGCGGCUA